RNAcentral lists this unclassified non-coding RNA (289 nucleotides) under plant metagenome. Its description in RNAcentral is "partial contains small subunit ribosomal RNA and internal transcribed spacer 1". The stretch from base 1 to 47 matches the Rfam family "Eukaryotic small subunit ribosomal RNA", at positions 1785 to 1831 of the family's 1831-position model. The record is from RNAcentral.
AAUGUCGUAACAAGGUUUCCGUAGGUGAACCUGCGGAAGGAUUAUUAUUGAAACUUGAAUCGUAGCAUUGAGAACUGUUGCUGUCCUGUUAAAGGGUAUGUGCACGUUCGACGUGUUGCGUUCUAUUCAUCCACCUGUGCACCUUUGUAGACUUGAUUAACUUUCGCUCUCGAGCGGUUAGAAGGGUUGCUUUCGAGCUCCCUUUGUCUAUCAAGUCUAUGUCUAUAUAAUCUCUUGUAUGUCUAGAAUGUCUUGUUUAUGGGACGCAAGUCCUUUAAAUCUUAUACAA